CUCAGUUCGGAUUGGAGUCUGNAACCCGACUCCAUGAAGCUGGAUUCGCUAGUAAUCGCGCAUCAGCCACGGCGCGGUGAAUACGUUCCCGGGCCUUGUACACACCGCCCGUCAAGCCAUGGAAGCCGGGGGUGCCUGAAGUGUGCAACCGCAAGGAGCGCCCUAAGGUAAAACCGGUGACUGGGGCUAAGUCGUAACAAGGUACC
This 206-nucleotide ribosomal RNA is filed under the name uncultured bacterium. RNAcentral's name for it is "partial 16S ribosomal RNA". It matches the Rfam family "Bacterial small subunit ribosomal RNA", at positions 1287 to 1500 of the family's 1533-position model. The record is from RNAcentral.